This 81-nucleotide non-coding RNA is filed under the name uncultured Clostridium sp. Its description in RNAcentral is "skipping-rope RNA". It matches the Rfam family "skipping-rope RNA". Rfam says of the family: Firmicutes, Fusobacteria, AlphaProteobacteria, Spirochaetes. Downstream gene The record is from RNAcentral. Lineage: Bacteria; Bacillati; Bacillota; Clostridia; Eubacteriales; Clostridiaceae.
AUUUUUGAGGUGAGAAAAGGCUCCUCAUGCGCUGGAACUAUUCAGUAAACAGAGAUGCAGGAAAUGUCGCCCUGCCAUAAA